RNAcentral lists this ribosomal RNA (282 nucleotides) under Triticum aestivum (bread wheat). Its description in RNAcentral is "partial small subunit ribosomal RNA". The record is from RNAcentral. Lineage: Eukaryota; Viridiplantae; Streptophyta; Magnoliopsida; Poales; Poaceae.
AUGAGGUCUACUCCCGCCUUCUCCUCACUGAGCAGCGUGCCAAGGCGCGCCGCUCCAAAGCCAGUCACGGCUCCCUCUCUGCGAACACCGCCACUAAGGGGGGCCGCAACUCGUCCAAGGGGCCGCCCCCUACUUCGUCUUCAUCAUCUUCGGCUCCCCCCGCGUCCGCAACCCUACCAGGGGCUGGUGGUUGACGCGUGUGCCAGCUGUGUGGCAUUGAGGGGCACUGGUCCUCCAAGUGCCACAAACGCUUCAGCGGACUUUUCUUGGUCUUGGCAAUGA